CGCACACAGAGGCAGUGGAGUGCGUGGCCAGGAGCUGCUAAGGAGCUCUGGGGCAUGUUAGUCACCUGUGAAUUGUAUGGCGGCAAAUCGAUUACAAAAUGCUCUCGGCUGGUGAGAGUUGGAGUUCAGAAAAGUCAAAAGCUGAUUCCUAUGUGCCUGCUGUGUGGUUCUAGGUUAUUGAUCCUGAAGACUGAACCUGUGGAGUAAAAGAGGAGUGAGGGGACCAGGUUUAUGGAGAACAGACAGGGGCAGGCCAAGGAGGAGAUGGCCAGGGUCUCUGAAGACAGACUGUGUCAUAGUUACCCUUCUGUUGCUGUGAAGAGACAUGUGACCGAUGGAGCACGUACCGAGACUCUCAGCAUCGGAUGGGGUGAAGAAACAAAAGAAAUCCAAAGACAGAAACGACAGGAAAUGAGGAUAUUGAAAACUGACACUACUAUAUCUACAUUUGGUUUAGGUUUUUUUUUUUUCCUUUUUGGAAGUUGUAUGUAAGAGAAAAAAAAUCACAAAAUGCUUUCAUUUCUCUGUGAUUGAGCAAACUCGUAAAAUAUUAAAGUAUUGAUUAAUAAUUGAUUAGAACUAACCUCACUGGAGCCAAUCAACCAUUUGGCAGGAUCGCUUUAAACUUUUAGGGGCUUUUAGCCCCCCUGGCUUCUAACCUUCCUCUUGUCUGAUUCAUUCAGGACUGAGCAGCGCUUCAGUCUGUUGGACAUGUGAUGUCACACUAUCCCUAUAGAACUGUGAGGUG
This 748-nucleotide long non-coding RNA is filed under the name Mus spicilegus (steppe mouse). RNAcentral describes it as "lncRNA (ENSMSIG00000016085.1)". The record is from RNAcentral. Lineage: Eukaryota; Metazoa; Chordata; Mammalia; Rodentia; Muridae.